This 214-nucleotide long non-coding RNA is filed under the name Panax ginseng (ginseng). RNAcentral describes it as "long non-coding RNA (PGIN_LNC018239)". The record is from RNAcentral. Lineage: Eukaryota; Viridiplantae; Streptophyta; Magnoliopsida; Apiales; Araliaceae.
UGAUCGGAUGUGUAACUUUGUCAAUCAGUUAAACUUGUGACUUUUUCUGAUCAGUUAGGUCCCUCCGAACUGUCUGAUCAGUUUAUGUCCGAAGCGUGUCUGAUUGGUAAAGCAGUGCAAAUUCAAAUGAAGUACAAGUAUUUCUCGAAGAGAAGUUUUUAUUCCAUUGAUAAAUUGCAUAAAUUACAUAAAUGAAGGGGAAAAUAGACAUGCA